Oncorhynchus tshawytscha (Chinook salmon) is the source of this 695-nucleotide long non-coding RNA. NCBI's taxonomy places the organism in Eukaryota, Metazoa, Chordata, Actinopteri, Salmoniformes, Salmonidae. The record is from Ensembl.
GGAGUGGGGAUGGACGGAGAGAGUCGGGACGAACGGAGAGUGUGGGGACGGAGGGAGUGGGGACGGAGGGAGAGUGUGGGGACGGAGGGAGAGGGGACGGAGGGAGUGGGGACGGAGGGAGAGGGGACGGAGGGAGUGGGGAAGGACGGAGUGGGGAUGGACGGAGAGAGUCGGGACGAACGGAGAGUGUGGGGAUGGACGGAGAGAGUCGGGACGAACGGAGAGUGUGGGGACGGAGGGAGUAGGGACAGAGGGAGUGGAGACGGAGGGAGAGUGUGGGGACGGAUGGAGAGUGUGGUCACGGAGUGAGUGGGGACGAACGGAGAGUGUGGGGACGGAGGGAGUGGGGAUGGAGGGAGAGUGUGGGGACGGAGGGAGUGGGGAUGAGGGAUGGGGGACGGAGGGAGUGGGGAUGAGGGAGUGGGGACGGAUGGAGGAAGUGGGACGGAGAGAGUGGGGACGGAAGGAGAGAGUGGGGACGGAAGGAGAGAGUGGGGACGGAAGGAGAGAGUGGGGACAGAGGGAGAGAGUGGGGACGGAUGGAGGGAGUGGGGACGGACGGGGAGUGGGGGACAGAGGGAGUGGGGACAGAGGGAGUGGGGACAGACGGAGAGUGUGGGGAAGGAGGGAGUCGGGACGGACGGAGAAUGUGGGGACGGAGGGAGUGGGGAUGGACGGAGUGGGGAUGGACGGAG